This 4673-nucleotide long non-coding RNA is filed under the name Sus scrofa (pig). Its description in RNAcentral is "lncRNA (ENSSSCG00000062999.1)". Lineage: Eukaryota; Metazoa; Chordata; Mammalia; Artiodactyla; Suidae. The record is from RNAcentral.
CCCCCUCCAGCCUCACACACCCCGGGCUGCCUCCAACCCCCACUUCCACCUUGUUCCCUGGUGCCCUGGCUGAGGCCCUCAGCCUCCUUGACUCUCCGCUGCAGCGCCCCUCGCCUCUGUCCUCCCCGUCACCCCCAACCCCUGGACACACUCCUGGCGUCUAGGACCCCAGAGGCCUUCCUCCCGGGCCACUUCUUUUCAGGCUCUGCGGUGUGCUCCUCUUCCUCGGGCCAUCUGCAUGGAGACGCCAGGACUCUUCUCCCAGGAAGGUCAUUGCCCUCAGCGUUGUAGCCACCCCGCUGCUCUGACGACACCCACAUCCCUGUCUUCAGCCCCAGCCCCUCCUGAGCAUGCUGCCCUGAUACCCCGACCCCCAGAGGCCUCCCCAGCUAGACAGUUGCCCAUCUCCCAGGGACUGGAGGACCGAGAAUGAGCAGCCAGGCUGCAGUUCAAGGUUGAACUUGGAAGAGCCAGGAGGAGCCAGAAGAAGAGCGUUCCUGGUUCCUGGAAGGGAGCUGGAGGGCAAGGGUGGGCUGUGGGGCCUGGGGGAGGGGCGUCCCCGGCUCUCCCACUUUGCAGCCCCUGUCCUUGUCUUCAGGUGGCCCCAUCUCCUCUUCUCAGCUGCCUGACCCCCAGACACUCCCCCUUGGUAGGUGCCAGCCUGCUUUUUUCUGCCUCCUCUCGUGCAAGCUCCAGCUCGGCCUCCCUCACCCCCAAGGAUCCUGGCGGUCCCUCCAGCCCAGCUUCUUCCCUGGGCUGUGACCCCUCACCUCCCCGUUCCUGCUCCCGUCGGAAGGAAGCGUGAACUGCCUAGUCCAUGGGUGGGGCUGGGGUGGAGAGGGCAGAUGGCUUGAUGCCCUGACACAUAGUAGGUGCUCCAUGAAGGCCUUAAGAAAGUCACUAGUAUGGGCUGCGCUCAGCUUAGGACUCUGCCGGUGGGCCUCCAACCCUGCCGGGAGCCCACCCAGCCGUGACCCCUCUUCCUGGCAAACAGGGGAGUUUGCUCGCCCCCGGCCAAGACCUCCAGCAAGGCAGAAAUUCCUGUUUUCGGCCGAACAUAGACACAGCUGCCCACUAGGUCAUCAGAGCAUCCGGUAAGUUCCAGGGAGAGAGGAGGCCCUCGCCCAGCCCCCGUCACAGACGGACUGCAGUGCCAGGUCUCCCGGCUCCCUUGAUCCAGUGAGCUGCUCCGGCCCUCCACGAGGACCAGGGCCCAGCAGAAGCCAAGCUCGCAGGCCUGGCAAGAGAGGAAGAAGCCGGCAGCCAUGGCCGGCCGCUGCCUCCCCCUCUCUGUCCCCUGUGCUAGCAUAUCCCCUGGGACCCAGGGUCUCCCUUCUGCUUUCUGGGUCCCUGUCAUCUAGCAGCUCACAAGGCCCUGCAAGUCUGGGUCCCCACGGCCCUCCAGCGCCAUCCCGUCUGGCCACCUCCCACCUCUCACUCAAACUGAUGAUCACUGAGCAUUUCCGGGGGGGCCCUGCACGGACCACUUGGUGUACAUAGUCUUAGAUAAUUCCACUAGCCUUUAGAGAGACCCUCAUUUUAUUAUUAAUAUUUUUUUCUUUUCGUGGCCACACACACAUAUGGAAGUUCCUGGGCUAGGAGUCUGAUCGGAGCUGCGGCUGCCAGCCUACGCCACAGCCAUGGCAAUGCCAGAUCCAAGCUGCAUCUGUGACCUACGCCGCAGCUCAUAGCAACACUGGAUCUUUAACCCACCAAGCAAGGCCAGGGAUCGAACGCGCGUCCUCACGAGCCACAGCAGGAACUCCCAUCAUCUUCAUUUUAGCGAAGCUGAGACUCAAGAUUCCACGGCUGUAAGAUGCCACAGUGGAGAUUUGAACCCAGGUCUGCCUCCCUCCUCUUAACCAUUAGGCAGUGAUCUUAGGGACCAUUAGGGAGCACCCCUCCUGAUCUAGUGAACACCAGGCUCUCCCCGACCUCCUCUAUUUGAAGUGUCUCACCCACCCUGAUCCACCUGCCAAAUGCCUUAUUCAACCCCUGGCCUCAUCGCCUCUGGGAAGACCGCCCUGAUUGCCCUCCUCCAGCUGCCAGCGGCCUUGGGCUGCCCUGGGCCACAGUCCUGGGAUGUCUGCCUGACCCACCACCAGGCUGGGAGCUCCUGGGGGGAGGUCCCACCGGAUCCUUUCUGUGUUCCUGGGCCCGUGAACCAGCACUGAGGCAAGUUCGGAGACGUCUCCUGGAUGGAUGGUGCUGCCCUCCAGGACCUAAAGGCUUUGGGAGUAAGAUCAGCUCUCAGACCAAGAAUGAGGGCCAGGCUGUUCAGACAGACCCAAGGGACACAGGGGACUGCAGGGUGUGGGCUGCCCGGGGGAGAGGCCUCUCCUCUCCCCAGCCUCGUUCCCCUUCGUUCCUCUUGCCUCUGGGACCCCGCUCUCCCCCCACCCCCACCCUCUCUUCUGCAUCUCCUGCCUUGGCCACCUCUCCCCCACCCCUCUCACUGGGAGCAGUCGGGGCUGUGGUGCUGAGAACGCAGAGGGGUGAAGGGAGGGAGGCCCGAGCUGUUUAUAGGAACUGGAGCAGCUCCAUCCAUCAGCUCUGUUUGGAGCUGGAGACCAAGCAUAAUAAAUACCUUGGCUCCUCCCCAGCUGUGCUUUCCCUGAACUUGGCCAUUCGAACUCCAAAUCUCUCUGGCCUGCUGGUUCUCAGGACCCAGUUCCCACCCCACCCCACCCCGCUCCCACCUCCCACCGAGCUGCCCCCUGGAAAGAGCUCUGCCUCCGAGACCAGAGACACGGGGCUGAGGCUAGGCUGCGCCGCUGCUUGGCUUUCAGAGCAAGGACACGUCACCCUGCUUGCCCGUGCCUCCACUUCCCUGUCUGUAAAAUGGGGCUGUAAUCACUGUCUCCCCCGACCCCGCCCCGCCACCUCACAUGUUAGAUCAGAGUGUGCGGGGAGAGCCCCCACCCCCGUGGGGUCCCUGGAAACUGGCUGGCAGAGCUUCUGCCUAUUGGGUAGAGGGAGAGGCCCCAGCAUAGCACAGGCAGGAAGUGGUCAGCGCCGCGAGGGAGAUCCAGCCUCUGCGUUCUGGGAGUUUGUUUGCAGCAGCGAGCAGCCCUUCCAGCUGGAGGGAGGGGAGACUUCGAGGACAUCUGGGCUGGCCCUGCAGGCAAGGGUAGGAUUUCCGCAUGUGGACAUGGAGAAGCCUCCUCCAGGCAGCGUAGCGCCUCGGCUAAAGCACAGGCGGGGCAGCAGGCAGAUGCCGGCCUGGGGGUGGGGGAGCUGAGAGGGGACUCCCCCUGCCCAGCCUCCACCCUAUCGCUCCCAGCUUCGGCCUCUCUGACCCUCCAGCACCUUCCCCUCUGACCCUCUAGCCUUUUGGAAUCUUCCCUCCUUCCCUGGAGUGCUUCGGACCCACCCAGCUCCCCCAAGUUGUGGAUACAUUCCCGGAAUUCUGCAGUCACGUCCCUACGCCCUCUCUCCCCAAAGCCACUCUAGAAAGUGGAAGACUCAGAUCAGGGGAAAAGUCGCUGGCCAAUAGCACAUGUUUCUGGAAUGAAUAAGGGAAUAAAUGAAUAAAGGAAUGAAUAAAAGGGUGAGUCAAUGAAAGACAAUAAGUGAGUCGUAAGUUAUCGAAUUCAACGGGCAUAUGGCGCUCUAUGUACAAGCCCCCUCCCCUCGUGGGGCUGGUGUUUUUGCAGGGGUGGGGAAUUGGCAUUAAACACGCGUGUACACGCUCACACACACACAAGAAUAAAGACAAGAUGGCAAAUUGCGAUGAGUAUCACGAGAGGAAAUAAUAGGGAGAUGAAGUUGAAAUGCGCAGACUCAGAGAUGUCCUCUCCAAGGGUGGGAUCCGUGAGCUGAGACUGAAGGCGGACUUGAGUUGAGCCAGUGAAUGGCUAUUCCUUCCAGCCUCUUCCCCCCACUCCCUGAAUGUGUCACAGCACCUUAGGAGAGCAAGAGCUGCCCUCUAGACCCUGAGGUCCCCCUACACGGAGACCCUCCUGGUCUGGCCUUGCCCUAAGUGUCUUGGCUGUUGCAUUCUAGAAUCAUGGAGAAGGAUAUGGAAGGGGUGGUGGGAGGAUGGCCAAGGGAUGGACCCCAGGAGUGAAGCCCUGUGGGGGUCGGGGGCUGGCUAGGCUGCAGGGUAAGAGAGUCAAGUUCCAAAGGUCUCUGCUUUAAAAUUUGAGUUGGGGAGGUUGGAUGGCCUUGGCUCCCUCCGCCAUUCCUGGGGCACCCAUGUCAGCUUGCACCGACCAUCCUCUGUCGCCCUAGGUAAUUUACCAACAUCCUCCUGUCUAACCUUCUGUGUGUUUUCUCCAUAAUCAAGUAACCACGGGCAGACAUAUUUAAAUUAUAUGCAAAUGUGCUUUUGCGUGUAUCAUUGUUUUAUAAAAAUGAGCUCUUAUAUGCGGUUUCCUGCAUCUUGCUUUUUUAAAACAAUACUUUAAGGAAAUCCCACCGAAGAGAAUCAGAUAGCUCUGAUUCAUUUUUGACAGGACACAGUAUUCCAGAGUGUGAAGAUUCCAUAAUUCGUUGAGCCAUUUUUCAAGUGUUGGACAUUUACUUCGUUAUCUUUUCUUACAACUGUAAACAUGCUGCAAAAUCAUCCCUGUUCAUAUGCCCAUAGGCUCUGGGAGUUGUAUUUCUGUCAGAUAAAUAUUUACAAGUGAGAUUCUACAUCAAUGGACAGAUGUAUACAUAUAUAUAUAUAU